RNAcentral lists this ribosomal RNA (497 nucleotides) under uncultured bacterium. RNAcentral's name for it is "partial 16S ribosomal RNA". It matches the Rfam family "Bacterial small subunit ribosomal RNA", at positions 28 to 507 of the family's 1533-position model. The record is from RNAcentral.
GAUGAACGCUGGCGGCGUGCCUAAUACAUGCAAGUCGAGCGAACAGACGAGGAGCUUGCUCCUCUGACGUUAGCGGCGGACGGGUGAGUAACACGUGGGUAACCUACCUAUAAGACUGGGAUAACUUCGGGAAACCGGAGCUAAUACCGGAUAAUAUAUUGAACCGCAUGGUUCAAUAGUGAAAGAUGGUUUUGCUGUCACUUAUAGAUGGAUCCGCGCCGCAUUAGCUAGUUGGUAAGGUAACGGCUUACCAAGGCGACGAUGCGUAGCCGACCUGAGAGGGUGAUCGGCCACACUGGAACUGAGACACGGUCCAGACUCCUACGGGAGGCAGCAGUAGGGAAUCUUCCGCAAUGGGCGAAAGCCUGACGGAGCAACGCCGCGUGAGUGAUGAAGGUCUUCGGAUCGUAAAACUCUGUUAUUAGGGAAGAACAAAUGUGUAAGUAACUAUGCACGUCUUGACGGUACCUAAUCAGAAAGCCACGGCUAACUACGUG